This 468-nucleotide ribosomal RNA is filed under the name uncultured bacterium. RNAcentral describes it as "partial 16S ribosomal RNA". It matches the Rfam family "Bacterial small subunit ribosomal RNA", at positions 28 to 507 of the family's 1533-position model. The record is from RNAcentral.
GACGAACGCUGGCGGCGUGCUUAACACAUGCAAGUCGAACGGUGAAGCUCCAGCUUGCUGGAGUGGAUCAGUGGCGAACGGGUGAGUAACACGUGAGCAACCUGCCCCUGACUCUGGAAUAAGCGCUGGAAACGGCGUCUAAUACUGGAUACGAGAAGGGUCCGCAUGGGCACUUUCUGGAAAGUUUUUCGGUUGGGGAUGGGCUCGCGGCCUAUCAGCUUGUUGGUGAGGUAAUGGCUCACCAAGGCUACGACGGGUAGCCGGCCUGAGAGGGCGACCGGCGACACUGGGACUGAGGCACGGCCCAGACUCCUACGGGAGGCAGCAGUGGGGAAUAUUGCACAAUGGGCGAAAGCCUGAUGCAGCGACGCCGCGUGAGGGAUGACGGCCUUCGGGUUGUAAACCUCUUUCAGCAGGGAAGAAGCGAAAGUGACGGUACCUGCAGAAGAAGCACCGGCUAACUACGUG